AAGUCGUAACAAGGUUUCCGUAGGUGAACCUGCGGAAGGAUCAUCAUCGAAUUCAUAUCCCCCUCCUCAACCGGAGGGGGACCCAUGAUAAACCCUUCUGUGCACCGUAAACCGUUCACUUUGGCAGGCUUUGGUGGUGAGCGUGAGCUCGCCUCCAACCUCGCGUUCCCUCCCUAAGGGGUGUUACGCGUGGCGGCCUGCCGGAGUCCUAUUAAAAAACUCGUUUUCGAACACGUCUGAAAAUUUCCUUUGAGAAAUCAAAGAACCGAAAACAACUUUCAACAACGGAUCUCUUGGCUCUC
This 302-nucleotide unclassified non-coding RNA is filed under the name fungal sp. RNAcentral describes it as "partial internal transcribed spacer region". The stretch from base 1 to 46 matches the Rfam family "Eukaryotic small subunit ribosomal RNA", at positions 1786 to 1831 of the family's 1831-position model. Lineage: Eukaryota; Fungi. The record is from RNAcentral.